GCGCACGUGGUGGAACGGUAGACACGCUACCUUGAGGGGGUAGUGCCCUACGGGCGUGGAAGUUCAAAUCUUCUCGUGCGCACCA
Molecule: transfer RNA, 85 nt
Filed under: Sulfurospirillum sp.
Lineage: Bacteria; Pseudomonadati; Campylobacterota; Epsilonproteobacteria; Campylobacterales; Sulfurospirillaceae
Description: tRNA-Leu
Rfam family: tRNA
About the family: Transfer RNA (tRNA) molecules are approximately 80 nucleotides in length.
Source: RNAcentral